This 484-nucleotide ribosomal RNA is filed under the name uncultured bacterium. RNAcentral's name for it is "partial 16S ribosomal RNA". It matches the Rfam family "Bacterial small subunit ribosomal RNA", at positions 28 to 523 of the family's 1533-position model. The record is from RNAcentral.
GACGAACGCUGGCGGCGUGCUUAACACAUGCAAGUCGAACGAUGAAGCCGGAGCUUGCUCUGGUGAAUUAGUGGCGAACGGGUGAGUAACACGUGAGUAACCUGCCCUUGACUCUGGGAUAACUGCUAGAAAUGGUAGCUAAUACCGGAUACGACCCUCGGAGGCAUCUCCAGGGGGUGGAAAGAAUUUCGGUCAAGGAUGGACUCGCGGCCUAUCAGCUAGUUGGUGAGGUAACGGCUCACCAGGGCGACGACGGGUAGCCGGCCUGGGAGGGUGACCGGCCACACGGGGACUGAGACACGGCCCAGACUCCUACGGGAGGCAGCAGUGGGGAAUAUUGCACACUGGGCGCAAGCCUGAUGCAGCAACGCCGCGUGAGGGAUGACGGCCUUCGGGUUGUAAACCUCUUUUAGUAGGGAAGAAGCGAAAGUGACGGUACCUGCAGAAAAAGCACCGGCUAACUACGUGCCAGCCGCCGCAGUAA